This 408-nucleotide long non-coding RNA is filed under the name Homo sapiens (human). RNAcentral's name for it is "HSALNT0005299". The record is from RNAcentral. Lineage: Eukaryota; Metazoa; Chordata; Mammalia; Primates; Hominidae.
CAGGUAUAUUUCCACACUGCUCGUAAAUUUUCUGCGCGGUCCCCAGAGCGCCCCCCAUGAGGCACCUGCAUCAGCUCCGGGCAGAGCAGAUGUGGAUGCCACCGCCUAGAAGCCGGGGCUACCCUGCGGACUGGGACUGUCCCAUAAGGAUACUGAGCUAAGGAUAAUGCAGAAUAACCGUUGAAAGUACCCAAGACCAGAGCUUGGAAGCAGAGCGGAAUAUGGAUCAGAGGGAGACAGGAGUCAGGGCCCUGCAGUUGGAGGCAGUUCAUUGGUAGAGCUUCAGUUUCUGCCUCAAUUAAAACCAAUUGAGAUAAUCACACAGCAACAUGGUCGGAGCUGAAGAACAGCAGCUAAAAAACAGGAGCCCCAGACAGCCCCUUUUCAUGGUCACUUGGUCAGUUGACU